This 672-nucleotide ribosomal RNA is filed under the name uncultured Bacteroidales bacterium. RNAcentral describes it as "bacterial SSU rRNA". It matches the Rfam family "Bacterial small subunit ribosomal RNA", at positions 65 to 724 of the family's 1533-position model. The record is from RNAcentral. Lineage: Bacteria; Pseudomonadati; Bacteroidota; Bacteroidia; Bacteroidales.
AGGGGCAGCAUGGUCUUAGCUUGCUAAGGCUGAUGGCGACCGGCGCACGGGUGAGUAACACGUAUCCAACCUGCCGUCUACUCUUGGCCAGCCUUCUGAAAGGAAGAUUAAUCCAGGAUGGGAUCAUGAGUUCACAUGUCCGCAUGAUUAAAGGUAUUUUCCGGUAGACGAUGGGGAUGCGUUCCAUUAGAUAGUAGGCGGGGUAACGGCCCACCUAGUCAACGAUGGAUAGGGGUUCUGAGAGGAAGGUCCCCCACAUUGGAACUGAGACACGGUCCAAACUCCUACGGGAGGCAGCAGUGAGGAAUAUUGGUCAAUGGGCGAUGGCCUGAACCAGCCAAGUAGCGUGAAGGAUGACUGCCCUAUGGGUUGUAAACUUCUUUUAUAAAGGAAUAAAGUCGGGUAUGCAUACCCGUUUGCAUGUACUUUAUGAAUAAGGAUCGGCUAACUCCGUGCCAGCAGCCGCGGUAAUACGGAGGAUCCGAGCGUUAUCCGGAUUUAUUGGGUUUAAAGGGAGCGUAGAUGGAUGUUUAAGUCAGUUGUGAAAGUUUGCGGCUCAACCGUAAAAUUGCAGUUGAUACUGGAUGUCUUGAGUGCAGUUGAGGCAGGCGGAAUUCGUGGUGUAGCGGUGAAAUGCUUAGAUAUCACGAAGAACUCCGAUUGCGAAGGCAG